GCCUCCUUCAAUUCUCCUCUGCUCCAAUGCUUGAACAGUCGCCGUCUGCUCAACCUGCCGUUGCCGUCUCCCACUCCUCCACUACCAGACAACAAAGCUCCAGCCGGCUGUCCAGGAUGGUCGCCGUCUCUCACUUCAUUACGGUCGCUACCUCUCCCUUCCACUUUAGUGAAACAAAUCUCAGCGAAACCAUCUCCAGAUCUCCGAUGCCCGCCAUCUCCUCCUCGCCGACGCUCGCCACUCUUCCGUGACCUACAGUAAAAGUCACCAUGGAUGCCGCCAUUGAUGGAUAUAGCUGCCAUUGACGACGCCGCCGACUCCACACGCCACGGCCGACGCCACCGUCGUAUUCAAGAGACCCUUCUAUGAUGAUUUUAUGAAGUUUUGCUUUGGGAGAUUCAAUGUGGCAAUCUGAUCUUCUAGAUCCAAGUACUCAACUUUGCUUUUGAUGCAGUCAAUAAAGAGAUUAAAGAAAGUAGGAUUAGGGCCACAUCAAAGGUUUGAUUUUCCAUUUGCUUAAUCAAUUUUUAACUAAAGAACAUAAAACAGCUAAUUUGCUACUGAAUAAUCCACGAGUUGUCUUUGGCUAUUAUGGUAUGCAACCCCGGUUUGAUUUUCUCUUUAAAAGAGUGCAUUAUUUGCAGUUUCCUGUACUAGGUGGAAUGAUGCAGUUCUCAAGAGAUUGGUUAGUAUGCAACUGAUGGUUGGCAACUCGGUGACUGUAUUUUUCCAUUCUGCUUUCUUUAUUGACUUGUUACUUUUUUUCAGCACCUCUAAGUAUUAGUUCAGUGAUAUAUGUGUUUUACCACUCAUUUAGUUAGCUUUCUAGAUGUAUAUAUGUUUUUGUUGUUGUGAAACUAUCCUAUUAAAAUCGUUUUGCUUAUCCUUGAAUGCUAUUCAACUAGUAAGACUAUUAACUAUAGAGUUUUUGAACUUCUAGCAUAGUUUCAUUCCAGUGCCAGUGAACACCUUGUAUUCAAAAGGUGUUGAUGCCAUAUGUAAUGCCUUCUGGAGUAGUUUUCACAAAAACCCUAUUCUUUUAUUCUUGUUUACUUGCAAAGCCAAGGAAAGCUAUAGAAUACUCCUCUCCUCCCAUUAUAUUUUUAAAGUUUAAAUGGUUUGUUUAAAAGAUCUUUUAUCUAACUGCUGUAGACUUGACCUGUAAGUAUUCUUUAUAUAUUUUACUUAUAUUCAUAAAGAUGAGUCAAAAUAAAAAAACUGUCAUUACUUUGUUUUAUUUUGGUUGCGGUUCCACAGGUACAUGCAACAGAUUGAAGUGUUGGCAUCAUCUUCCUUUGGUUUCCUUAAUUGACCAGAUUGGAAGAGAUAGUUGGGCAAAGCUAUUGGCAAUUGAUCAUGUAGAACUACUUUAUAACCAUUUAAGUUUUAUAUUUUAUUUGAACUCUAAAUUUAUGAAGGUUUUAUAAUUUAUGUAUGGAUAACUUUUGAAUUUUUAUUCGUGAGGACUAUUAUAUUGUUGUUUAGACUUCAAUUGACUAUUAUUAGUUACUAAAUGUUGAUCAAUGAUGAUGUAUUAUUAGGUGAACUUAAUGUGAA
Ipomoea triloba (trilobed morning glory) is the source of this 1557-nucleotide long non-coding RNA. RefSeq lists it as uncharacterized. The record is from RefSeq and is a predicted model, not a curated record. NCBI's taxonomy places the organism in Eukaryota, Viridiplantae, Streptophyta, Magnoliopsida, Solanales, Convolvulaceae. The transcript is spliced from 3 exons.